AGAGUUUGAUCCUGGCUCAGAUUGAACGCUGGCGGCAGGCCUAACACAUGCAAGUCGAACGGUAACAGGAAGCAGCUUGCUGCUUCGCUGACGAGUGGCGGACGGGUGAGUAAUGUCUGGGAAGCUGCCUGAUGGAGGGGGAUAACUACUGGAAACGGUAGCUAAUACCGCAUAAUGUCGCAAGACCAAAGAGGGGGACCUUCGGGCCUCUUGCCAUCGGAUGUGCCCAGAUGGGAUUAGCUUGUUGGUGGGGUAACGGCUCACCAAGGCGACGAUCCCUAGCUGGUCUGAGAGGAUGACCAGCCACACUGGAACUGAGACACGGUCCAGACUCCUACGGGAGGCAGCAGUGGGGAAUAUUGCACAAUGGGCGCAAGCCUGAUGCAGCCAUGCCGCGUGUAUGAGGAAGGCCUUCGGGUUGUAAAGUACUUUCAGCGGGGAGGAAGGGAGUAAAGUUAAUACCUUUGCUCAUUGACGUUACCCGCAGAAGAAGCACCGGCUAACUCCGUGCCAGCAGCCGCGGUAAUACGGAGGGUGCAAGCGUUAAUCGGAAUUACUGGGCGUAAAGCGCACGCAGGCGGUUUGUUAAGUCAGAUGUGAAAUCCCCGGGCUCAACCUGGGAACUGCAUCUGAUACUGGCAAGCUUGAGUCUCGUAGAGGGGGGUAGAAUUCCAGGUGUAGCGGUGAAAUGCGUAGAGAUCUGGAGGAAUACCGGUGGCGAAGCCGGCCCCCUGGGCGAAGACUGACGCUCAGGUGCGAAAGCGUGGGGAGCAAACAGGAUUAGAUACCCUGGUAGUCCACGCCGUAAACGAUGUCGACUUGGAGGUUGUGCCCUUGAGGCGUGGCUUCCGGAGCUAACGCGUUAAGUCGACCGCCUGGGGAGUACGGCCGCAAGGUUAAAACUCAAAUGAAUUGACGGGGGCCCGCACAAGCGGUGGAGCAUGUGGUUUAAUUCGAUGCAACGCGAAGAACCUUACCUGGUCUUGACAUCCACGGAAGUUUUCAGAGAUGAGAAUGUGCCUUCGGGAACCGUGAGACAGGUGCUGCAUGGCUGUCGUCAGCUCGUGUUGUGAAAUGUUGGGUUAAGUCCCGCAACGAGCGCAACCC
This 1107-nucleotide ribosomal RNA is filed under the name uncultured bacterium. Its description in RNAcentral is "bacterial SSU rRNA". It matches the Rfam family "Bacterial small subunit ribosomal RNA", at positions 8 to 1104 of the family's 1533-position model. The record is from RNAcentral.